RNAcentral lists this ribosomal RNA (152 nucleotides) under Omegastrombidium sp. LWW08011001. RNAcentral's name for it is "5.8S ribosomal RNA". It matches the Rfam family "5.8S ribosomal RNA". From Rfam's summary of the family: 5.8S ribosomal RNA (5.8S rRNA) is a component of the large subunit of the eukaryotic ribosome. Lineage: Eukaryota; Ciliophora; Spirotrichea; Strombidiidae. The record is from RNAcentral.
CUAAAUUCUCAACGGUGGAUGUCUUGGUUCCCACAACGAUGAAGAACGCAGCGAAGUGCGAUAAGCAGUGCGAAUUGCAGAACCGUGAGUCAUCAGAUUUUUGAACGCAACUUGCGCAUUUUACUUUUAGUAUAUGCACGCCUGGUCCAGUG